Molecule: ribosomal RNA, 760 nt
Filed under: Burkholderia sp.
Lineage: Bacteria; Pseudomonadati; Pseudomonadota; Betaproteobacteria; Burkholderiales; Burkholderiaceae
Description: bacterial SSU rRNA
Rfam family: Bacterial small subunit ribosomal RNA
Source: RNAcentral
CGGCUACUGCCUUACCAUGCAGUCGGACGGCAGCGCGGGGGCAACCCUGGCGGCGAGUGGCGAACGGGUGAGUAAUACAUCGGAACGUGUCCUGGAGUGGGGGAUAGCCCGGCGAAAGCCGGAUUAAUACCGCAUACGCUCUGUGGAGGAAAGCGGGGGAUCUUCGGACCUCGCGCUCAAGGGGCGGCCGAUGGCAGAUUAGCUAGUUGGUGGGGUAAAGGCCUACCAAGGCGACGAUCUGUAGCUGGUCUGAGAGGACGACCAGCCACACUGGGACUGAGACACGGCCCAGACUCCUACGGGAGGCAGCAGUGGGGAAUUUUGGACAAUGGGGGCAACCCUGAUCCAGCAAUGCCGCGUGUGUGAAGAAGGCCUUCGGGUUGUAAAGCACUUUUGUCCGGAAAGAAAACCGCUUCUCUAAUACAGGGGCGGGAUGACGGUACCGGAAGAAUAAGCACCGGCUAACUACGUGCCAGCAGCCGCGGUAAUACGUAGGGUGCAAGCGUUAAUCGGAAUUACUGGGCGUAAAGCGUGCGCAGGCGGUUCGCUAAGACCGAUGUGAAAUCCCCGGGCUUAACCUGGGAACUGCAUUGGUGACUGGCGGUCUAGAGUAUGGCAGAGGGGGGUAGAAUUCCACGUGUAGCAGUGAAAUGCGUACAGAUGUGGAGGAAUACCGAUGGCGAAGGCAGCCCCGUGGGCCAAUACUGACGCUCAGGCACAAAAGCGUGGUGGGCAAACGGGGUUAGAUACCCCGGGAGUC